GGUUGUGACUCAGUGGUAGAGCACUUGCCCAGCAUGUGAGAGGCCCUGGGUUCGAUCCUCAGUACCA
This 67-nucleotide transfer RNA is filed under the name Marmota monax (woodchuck). RNAcentral describes it as "tRNA.Ala". The record is from RNAcentral. Lineage: Eukaryota; Metazoa; Chordata; Mammalia; Rodentia; Sciuridae.